This 23-nucleotide non-coding RNA is filed under the name Arabidopsis thaliana (thale cress). Lineage: Eukaryota; Viridiplantae; Streptophyta; Magnoliopsida; Brassicales; Brassicaceae. The record is from RNAcentral.
AGUUUGGUGACGGUGUCUGGUCA